RNAcentral lists this ribosomal RNA (477 nucleotides) under uncultured bacterium. RNAcentral's name for it is "partial 16S ribosomal RNA". It matches the Rfam family "Bacterial small subunit ribosomal RNA", at positions 28 to 507 of the family's 1533-position model. The record is from RNAcentral.
GAUUAACGCUGGCGGCGUGCAUAACACAUGCAAGUCGAACGAUGAAACUUAAAUGAUUUCUUCGGAAUGAACUUAAGUGGAUUAGUGGCGGACGGGUGAGUAACGCGUGAGUAUCCUGCCUUACACAAGGGGAUAGCCGUUGGAAACGACGAAUAAUACCCUAUGAAACUAUCACUUCGCAUGAAGCGAUAGUCAAAGUGUUAGCGGUGUAAGAUGGACUUGCGUCUGAUUAGCUAGUUGGUGAGACAAAAGCCCACCAAGGCAACGAUCAGUAGCCGGAUUGGGAGAGUGGACGGGCACAUUGGGACUGGGGCAAGGCCCAGACUCCUACGGGAGGCAGCAGGGGGGAAUUAUGCACAAUGGGGGAAACCCUGAUGCAGCGACGCUGCGUGAUUUAGAAGGCCUGCGGGUUGUAAAAAUCGUUUGUAUAGGAAGAAAAUGACGGUACUAUACGAAUAAGGUCCGGCUAAUUACGUG